Molecule: long non-coding RNA, 991 nt
Organism: Stegastes partitus (bicolor damselfish)
Lineage: Eukaryota; Metazoa; Chordata; Actinopteri; Pomacentridae
Exons: 2
Source: RefSeq, a predicted model, not a curated record
ACGUGUAUUUUUUGCUUUUUAUUUUUCAUAUAUUUAUAUUUCUUGCUGUUUUCUAAUCAGUCCACGGAGCCAGAAUCAGUUUUUCCUGCUUUAAUAAAACAUCAGGAUUCACAUCGUGUAUAAAAAGAAAUCAUAAAAAUGACACGAUUACAAUCAAAAAAGUUUUUUUGUUGUUUUUGCUCAUAAGCAGAAUAUAAAUAGAAAAACAUCUAAAUCUUGGACGUCUGACGUCGGAUAAAUGGGUCCAGAAUACAUGUGACUGUAAAGACCAGGAAGAGCCGAGUAUAGAGAAAAUACAGAUUAAACUGAUUUAUGUCAUCAAACCUCUUGAUCAAUACUGCAAGGUUCCCUCAGAGAGGAGCGGGCAUGGCUUCUGCUUCCAAACAGCUGAACACAGACGGAGGGAGGAUCUAAACUGGUGGGGACAGGUGAGAUAGAUGGGGACAGGUGUGACAAGUAAGGACAGGUGAGAUAGACGGGGACAGGUGUAACGGGUAAGGACAGGUGAGUGGUGGCGAACACUGACGUUCAGAUUCAGAGACUAGAACUCUGACCAUCAACCAGAUUCUUCGUUUUCUUUCUGCAGAACCUGGUUGAACGUUAACGAGUUUUAAAGUUCUUCUUCUGAACGUCCGACGUUUCCGUCAAACUGCAGCUGCUGACGGAGGAUUCGGCUAAAUUUGUUUUCCGGAUGGUGAAGACCAACCAGCACAGAAACAGGCUGAAGCUGCAGCUCAGUGACCUGGUGCUGGUUCUGUAGGUUCACACUGAUGGCAACACGGUCCAUCGUCAGUUCAUCAGGAACACUGCUCGGUGGUGGACAUCGGAUCAGAACCAUUCAAAGGCUGAAAUGUUCUGUUCAUGAGAUGCUGAGGUUCAGGUUCUACGUUCAGCCUCAUCAUGUCGAAGUUCAUCGUCAUUUCCUCUGAAACGAGAUGAUUUGAUGCUUUUCUUUUUUCUUUCCCUCUUUAACUGAGACUAACGUGGAGUC